Long non-coding RNA from Fukomys damarensis (Damara mole-rat), 467 nucleotides. RefSeq lists it as uncharacterized. NCBI's taxonomy places the organism in Eukaryota, Metazoa, Chordata, Mammalia, Rodentia, Bathyergidae. The record is from RefSeq and is a predicted model, not a curated record. The transcript has 4 exons.
GCUGCCACUGAGGUAAAUCCCCAGCCCCAAGUUAACUGCCAACUUUAAAGGGAGACACUACUAUGAGACCAGGGAGGCUGAGGCAGGAGGAUCAUUUGGGCUGAGCUGGAGACAUUGCAAGACCCCAUGUCAAGAGAAAAAUGAAAACUGGAGAAGUUUAUAAACUUUUACUGAGGUAUAAUUGGCAGUGUUCAAGGUGUACAAGUAGUUUGGCAAAGAUUUAUACAACAGUGAAUGAGCCGGCCAAAGUGGCUGAGAUGAAGCAAGUAUAUGAUUCUGGUCUCAUCCGCAUGUCUGACUGCGGAAGUGAAACAUGAAGUAGGGCUGUUGCCCUCGACGCUGUGUUUUACAAAGAUAUACCACUGAAAUAAGAUUCCAGAAGCAAUGACUUCAAUUGUGAUGCUCUAAUAUGCUUUUGCAUGCUCAAUGUAUGUCUGUUUGAAAAAAAUAAGAUUAAAUAAAUGGAU